This 253-nucleotide ribosomal RNA is filed under the name uncultured bacterium. Its description in RNAcentral is "partial 16S ribosomal RNA". It matches the Rfam family "Bacterial small subunit ribosomal RNA", at positions 524 to 776 of the family's 1533-position model. The record is from RNAcentral.
GACAGAGGGUGCAAACGUUGUUCGGAAUUACUGGGCGUAAAGCGUGUGUAGGCGGUCCGCUAAGUCGGGUGUGAAAGCCCUGGGCUCAACCCAGGAAGUGCACUCGAAACUGGCGGGCUAGAGUAUCGGAGAGGUUGGUGGAAUUCUCGGUGUAGAGGUGAAAUUCGUAGAUAUCGAGAGGAACACCGGUGGCGAAGGCGGCCAACUGGACGAAUACUGACGCUGAGACACGAAAGCGUGGGGAGCAAACGGG